CACGUAGGGGGCGAGCGUUGUCCGGAUUUAUUGGGCGUAAAGAGCUCGUAGGCGGUUUGGCAAGUCGGGUGUGAAAUUUCGAGGCUCAACCUCGAAACGCCACUCGAUACUGCCAUGACUGGAGUCCGGUAGAGGAGUGCGGAAUUCCUGGUGUAGCGGUGAAAUGCGCAGAUAUCAGGAGGAACACCGACGGCGAAGGCAGCACUCUGGGCCGGUACUGACGCUGAGGAGCGAAAGCGUGGGGAGCGAACAGG
RNAcentral lists this ribosomal RNA (254 nucleotides) under uncultured bacterium. RNAcentral's name for it is "partial 16S ribosomal RNA". It matches the Rfam family "Bacterial small subunit ribosomal RNA", at positions 524 to 776 of the family's 1533-position model. The record is from RNAcentral.